AUUGAACGCUGGCGGCAGGCCUAACACAUGCAAGUCGAGCGGAUGAAGGGAGCUUGCUCCUGGAUUCAGCGGCGGACGGGUGAGUAAUGCCUAGGAAUCUGCCUGGUAGUGGGGGAUAACGUCCGGAAACGGGCGCUAAUACCGCAUACGUCCUGAGGGAGAAAGUGGGGGAUCUUCGGACCUCACGCUAUCAGAUGAGCCUAGGUCGGAUUAGCUAGUUGGUGGGGUAAAGGCCUACCAAGGCGACGAUCCGUAACUGGUCUGAGAGGAUGAUCAGUCACACUGGAACUGAGACACGGUCCAGACUCCUACGGGAGGCAGCAGUGGGGAAUAUUGGACAAUGGGCGAAAGCCUGAUCCAGCCAUGCCGCGUGUGUGAGAAGGUCUUCGGAUUGUAAAGCACUUUAAGUUGGGAGGAAGGGCAGUAAGUUAAUACCUUGCUGUUUUGACGUUACCAACAGAAUAAGCACCGGCUAACUUCGUG
RNAcentral lists this ribosomal RNA (483 nucleotides) under uncultured bacterium. RNAcentral's name for it is "partial 16S ribosomal RNA". It matches the Rfam family "Bacterial small subunit ribosomal RNA", at positions 30 to 507 of the family's 1533-position model. The record is from RNAcentral.